RNAcentral lists this ribosomal RNA (497 nucleotides) under uncultured bacterium. RNAcentral's name for it is "partial 16S ribosomal RNA". It matches the Rfam family "Bacterial small subunit ribosomal RNA", at positions 28 to 507 of the family's 1533-position model. The record is from RNAcentral.
GAUGAACGCUGGCGGCGUGCCUAAUACAUGCAAGUCGAGCGAACGGACGAGAAGCUCGCUUCUCUGAUGUUAGCGGCGGACGGGUGAGUAACACGUGGAUAACCUACCUAUAAGACUGGGAUAACUUCGGGAAACCGGAGCUAAUACCGGAUAAUAUUUUGAACCGCAUGGUUCAAAAGUGAAAGACGGUCUUGCUGUCACUUAUAGAUGGAUCCGCGCUGCAUUAGCUAGUUGGUAAGGUAACGGCUUACCAAGGCAACGAUGCAUAGCCGACCUGAGAGGGUGAUCGGCCACACUGGAACUGAGACACGGUCCAGACUCCUACGGGAGGCAGCAGUAGGGAAUCUUCCGCAAAGGGCGAAAGCCUGACGGAGCAACGCCGCGUGAGUGAUGAAGGUCUUCGGAUCGUAAAACUCUGUUAUUAGGGAAGAACAUAUGUGUAAGUAACUGUGCACAUCUUGACGGUACCUAAUCAGAAAGCCACGGCUAACUACGUG